This 255-nucleotide ribosomal RNA is filed under the name uncultured bacterium. Its description in RNAcentral is "partial 16S ribosomal RNA". It matches the Rfam family "Bacterial small subunit ribosomal RNA", at positions 524 to 776 of the family's 1533-position model. The record is from RNAcentral.
UACAGAGGUCUCAAGCGUUUGUUCGGAUUCAUUGGGCGUAAAGGGUGCGUAGGCGGCGCGGUAAGUCGGGUGUGAAAUCUCGGAGCUUAACUCCGAAACUGCAUUCGAUACUGCCGUGCUUGAGGACUGGAGAGGAGACUGGAAUUUACGGUGUAGCGGUGAAAUGCGUAGAUAUCGUAAGGAAGACCAGUGGCGAAGGCGGGGUCUCUGGACAGUUCCUGACGCUGAGGCACGAAGGUCAGGGGAGCAAACGGG